UGGGGAAUAUUGCACAAUGGGGGAAACCCUGAUGCAGCGACGCCGCGUGAGCGAAGAAGUAUUUCGGUAUGUAAAGCUCUAUCAGCAGGGAAGAUAAUGACGGUACCUGACUAAGAAGCCCGGCUAACUACGUGCC
Molecule: ribosomal RNA, 136 nt
Filed under: uncultured bacterium
Lineage: Bacteria
Description: partial 16S ribosomal RNA
Rfam family: Bacterial small subunit ribosomal RNA
Source: RNAcentral